ACUCCUACGGGAGGCAGCAGUGGGGAAUAUUGCACAAUGGGCGCAAGCCUGAUGCAGCAACGCCGCGUGAGGGAUGACGGCCUUCGGGUUGUAAACCUCUUUUAGUAGGGAAGAAGCGAAAGUGACGGUACCUACAGAAAAAGCACCGGCUAACUACGUGCCAGCAGCCGCGGUAAUACA
RNAcentral lists this ribosomal RNA (180 nucleotides) under uncultured bacterium. Its description in RNAcentral is "partial 16S ribosomal RNA". It matches the Rfam family "Bacterial small subunit ribosomal RNA", at positions 335 to 527 of the family's 1533-position model. The record is from RNAcentral.